Molecule: ribosomal RNA, 467 nt
Filed under: uncultured bacterium
Lineage: Bacteria
Description: partial 16S ribosomal RNA
Rfam family: Bacterial small subunit ribosomal RNA
Source: RNAcentral
GACGAACGCUGGCGGCGUGCUUAACACAUGCAAGUCGAACGGAAAGGCCCUGCUUUUGUGGGGUGCUCGAGUGGCGAACGGGUGAGUAACACGUGAGUAACCUGCCCUUGACUUUGGGAUAACUUCAGGAAACUGGGGCUAAUACCGGAUAGGAGCUCCUGCUGCAUGGUGGGGGUUGGAAAGUUCGGGGGUUGGGGAAGGAUUUGCGGGUUAUCAGCUUGUUGGUGGGGUAGUGGCUUACCAAGGCUUUGACGGGUAGCCGGCCUGAGAGGGUGACCGGCCACAUUGGGACUGAGAUACGGCCCAGACUCCUACGGGAGGCAGCAGUGGGGAAUAUUACACAAUGGGCGGAAGCCUGAUGCAGCAACGCCGCGUGCGGGAUGACGGCCUUCGGGUUGUAAACCGCUUUCGCCUGUGACGAAGCGUGAGUGACGGUAAUGGGUAAAGAAGCACCGGCUAACUACGUG